Molecule: ribosomal RNA, 253 nt
Filed under: uncultured bacterium
Lineage: Bacteria
Description: partial 16S ribosomal RNA
Rfam family: Bacterial small subunit ribosomal RNA
Source: RNAcentral
UACGUAGGGUCCGAGCGUUGUCCGGAAUUAUUGGGCGUAAAGGGCUCGUAGGCGGUUUGUCGCGUUGUUCGUGAAAACUCACAGCUCAACUGUGGGCGUGCGGGCGAUACGGGCAGACUGGAGUACUGCAGGGGAGACUGGAAUUCCUGGUGUAGCGGUGGAAUGCGCAGAUAUCAGGAGGAACACCGGUGGCGAAGGCGGGUCUCUGGGCAGUAACUGACGCUGAGGAGCGAAAGCGUGGGGAGCGAACAGG